RNAcentral lists this ribosomal RNA (444 nucleotides) under uncultured eukaryote. Its description in RNAcentral is "bacterial SSU rRNA". It matches the Rfam family "Eukaryotic small subunit ribosomal RNA", at positions 1215 to 1670 of the family's 1831-position model. The record is from RNAcentral.
UCACCAGGUCAGGACACGGUAAGGAUUGACGGACUGAAGGCUCUUUCUCGAUUCCGUGGAAAGUGGUGCAUGGCCGUUUUUGGUUGGUGGAUCGAUCCGUCUGGUUAAUUCCGUUAACGAACGAGACCUCGGCACUCCGAAUAGCGCGGCGGACGUCGCGGCCUCCGGGCCGUCUUCCGCACGAGCUUCUUAGAGGGACCGUCCCCCGCCGGGGAAGGAGGUGCGAGGCAACGACAGGUCUGUGAUGCCCUUAGAUGUUCUGGGCCGCACGCGCAUUACACUGACGCGUCCAACGGGUGACUCCCGACCCGAAGGGGCCGGGGAAUCCGCAAGGCGCGUCGUGAUGGGGAUUGAACGUUGCAAUUGUUGUUCACGAACGAGGAAUUCCUAGUAGGCGCGGGUCAUCAACCCGCGCCGAUUACGUCCCUGCCCUUUGUACACACC